CUUUCACAGGGUUUGCCUCAGAGUGUCAGAAAACAGUUAUUUACAUUAGAAUUCAUAAAUAGCAAAAGCACAGUUAUGAAGUAGCAAUGAAACAAUUUAAUGGUUGUAGGUCACCAUAGCAAUGAGGAACUGUAUCAGAGUCACAGGAAGGAAGGUUGAGAACCACUGCUAGAGGCAAGGAACUUAGAACCCAAGCAGAGUUCUGAGAUCCCUGAAGAUAGGGACCGUGACACUGUGUCUGCCUUCCAUAAGGAUUCAUUCUCAAGAUCAGACUCUUGAGAAUGGUUUUUGUCACCACGAAAUAAUAGAGCUGGUGCUUGCAUGCACAUGUGUCUGGGGAACCGUUCUUGCCUGAGGAAAGUGUGUCCUCAAAGAGCAUGGGGCAGACGUUCAUGUGGAAAUGGGGGAUCCCUUUGCGCUUUGAAGCAGUAAAUGAUAGGACAAGAAGGGAAACAACUCGCCCAGGACAAAGUACUCUUCUCACAGCUGACUGCAGUAUUUACCUACAAGUGCGUGUUGCCCGGAGAACGUAUGCACUCGGAUGCUCACCAACUCACCCAGGGGAGGCAUGAGGAAAUUGGAAGUCAAGUUUAAAAAGAGCAGGCCUCUACGAGAUAAUAGCAAAACACAGAGAAAUAAAAUAUACUAAGACAAUACAAAACGCAUACAGUGAAGAUGGACAAGACUACAGAAAAAGAAGAGUCCCAAGAGCAGACACAAGAGUCAGAGAUACGCGGGUUCAGAAACCCCCAUAAAACGCAUUUAUAUUAAUAUAUAUUAAACCACUCUUGAAUUCCUAAAAUAAACCGUUAA
Long non-coding RNA from Rattus norvegicus (Norway rat), 813 nucleotides. Ensembl annotates it as centrosomal protein 152. Its record names the gene Cep152. The record is from Ensembl. NCBI's taxonomy places the organism in Eukaryota, Metazoa, Chordata, Mammalia, Rodentia, Muridae.